Poecilia latipinna (sailfin molly) is the source of this 653-nucleotide long non-coding RNA. RefSeq lists it as uncharacterized. The record is from RefSeq and is a predicted model, not a curated record. The transcript has 2 exons. NCBI's taxonomy places the organism in Eukaryota, Metazoa, Chordata, Actinopteri, Cyprinodontiformes, Poeciliidae.
GUUGGAUUUAAUGUAUGCAGCAGAAGUUCUCCAGCUUCUAAUCCUCAAAAAAGCAGAACGCGACCAACACAUGUCUAGCAAGAAGAGGCAGCAGGAGGAGACGGGCAGAGCAACCAGCAGGGUGACAUCAUCGCUAACCGUGGGAGCCUGGCCUGCUGGUUAUGCCAGCGGUGCAACUGCGUGUCACUUCCUGGGAGAAAAUGGAAUAGGAAGCCAGAGAGAGAGAGAGAGAGAGAGGUGACAAGUGAGAGCUUUAACUCCAUAAUGAAGCCUUUCUCCAGCAACAGGGAAUGGAGUCCUGCUAAUGUGUGUGUGUGUGUGUGUGUGUGUACAGCUCUGUGUAAAUGUGUUUCUCACACACUUUGUCAGCUCAGAAACCUAUUUAAAGCUUUUAACAGCUUGUCAACACUUUAUUUUGACUACGCGGUUACAGCAGGGACUCCGUGGAGGAAAGGGCCCAACGUCCCCUUUUUCACUGAGUCGGGGAUUUCUUCCUCUGAACAAUUUUUAAAAAGAACAGUUUGGAGCUGUGGUGUGAGAUGGAGAGAGAGAAAAAAAUCUAAAAUCAGGAGCUGUUGAUGCUGUUUGAGUUUGACUAAGCUGAUCUGCAGAGUUAGAGCUUUACAGAUGGUCUUUCAUUCAGUUAUUUGGAA